UACGUAGGGGGCAAGCGUUGUCCGGAAUCAUUGGGCGUAAAGCGCGUGUAGGCGGCUCGGUAAGUCCGCUCUGAAAGCCCGGGGCUCAACCCCGGGAGGCGGGUGGAUACUGCUGAGCUCGAGUCCGGAGGAGGAGUGUGGAAUUCCUGGUGUAGCGGUGAAAUGCGCAGAUAUCAGGAGGAACACCAAUGGCGAAGGCAGCACUCUGGGACGGUACUGACGCUGAGGAGCGAAAGCGUGGGGAGCGAACAGG
RNAcentral lists this ribosomal RNA (253 nucleotides) under uncultured bacterium. RNAcentral's name for it is "partial 16S ribosomal RNA". It matches the Rfam family "Bacterial small subunit ribosomal RNA", at positions 524 to 776 of the family's 1533-position model. The record is from RNAcentral.